Molecule: ribosomal RNA, 253 nt
Filed under: uncultured bacterium
Lineage: Bacteria
Description: partial 16S ribosomal RNA
Rfam family: Bacterial small subunit ribosomal RNA
Source: RNAcentral
UACAGAGGGUGCGAGCGUUAAUCGGAAUUACUGGGCGUAAAGCGCGUGUAGGCGGUCUUGCAAGUCGGGUGUGAAAUCCCUUGGCUCAACUGAGGAAGUGCGCCCGAAACUGCAGGACUUGAGUACCGGAGAGGAUGGCGGAAUUCCCCAAGUAGAGGUGAAAUUCGUAGAUAUGGGGAGGAACACCGGUGGCGAAGGCGGCCAUCUGGACGGAUACUGACGCUGAGACGCGAAAGCAUGGGGAGCAAACAGG